This 69-nucleotide transfer RNA is filed under the name Anterhynchium (Dirhynchium) sp. QHZ-2020. Its description in RNAcentral is "tRNA-Met". Lineage: Eukaryota; Metazoa; Arthropoda; Insecta; Hymenoptera; Vespidae. The record is from RNAcentral.
AUAUAGAUCAGCUAAAAUAAAAGCUAUUAGGCUCAUACCCUAAAAAUAUAAAACUACUUAUUCUAUAUA